RNAcentral lists this ribosomal RNA (433 nucleotides) under uncultured Streptococcus sp. RNAcentral describes it as "bacterial SSU rRNA". It matches the Rfam family "Bacterial small subunit ribosomal RNA", at positions 947 to 1382 of the family's 1533-position model. Lineage: Bacteria; Bacillati; Bacillota; Bacilli; Lactobacillales; Streptococcaceae. The record is from RNAcentral.
GACAACGACGAACGUAACCCUUACGUAGGUCUUGACACUCCCGAUGUCUUAUUUCUAGAGAUAGAAGUUACUUCGGUACAUCGGUGACAGGUGGUGCAUGGUUGUCGUCAGCUCGUGUCGUGAGAUGUUGGGUUAAGUCCCGCAACGAGCGCAACCCCUAUUGUUAGUUGCCAUCAUUCAGUUGGGCACUCUAGCGAGACUGCCGGUAAUAAACCGGAGGAAGGUGGGGAUGACGUCAAAUCAUCAUGCCCCUUAUGACCUGGGCUACACACGUGCUACAAUGGUUGGUACAACGAGUUGCGAGUCGGUGACGGCGAGCUAAUCUCUUAAAGCCAAUCUCAGUUCGGAUUGUAGGCUGCAACUCGCCUACAUGAAGUCGGAAUCGCUAGUAAUCGCGGAUCAGCACGCCGCGGUGAAUACGUUCCCGGGCCUU